GCCAUACAGUCCGCUUAGCGCCGCGGCCGCCCCUCAGCUGUCGCAGGCGUCUGAUAUCCGGCCGGUUGUUAACACAAGCCAGCGCGUUGCUAGGGGGCGGGGCCAGAGGCUACGGACAGCCGGAGAGCCAAACCACCUGAAAGCCUAAUUGCACUCCGCUCCUGGCAGGGCGGGUUUGCAGGGUUGCGGUAAGGAGCCUGCAGGAGGCACCUUGCUGCUAAAUAAGAACUGCUCUCGACAUAAGCAAUAUUGAAGUAAUUGCAGCUCAUCCAUGGCCAGAUGUUGACUAACAAGAUCCUCCUGUUCCACAAGUCAUAACUGCAGGUUUGAUUGGACAAGGGACUGAUUCAGUACCUUUCCCCUGAUAAAAGACCACCCACCAUGGACUGGUUCUGGCAGGUUUACAGAGACCAAGUACUAGUACAUUCACGUCUCUGCUUCUCCUUUUGAUGUAUAGGGACUUAAUGCAUUUAAAUGUUAAGUUUCCACUCCACAGUGAGCACAGGAUGCAUGUCACAUGCAUGUUUAUUCAGCACCCCUCUUAGUGAAGAUUCACAGCUCCUCUUAAAUCUGUUGAAUAUGUCUGUUUAGCCAACUCAUUUGGCAUAAAGCUUCUGUUCCAACCCCACCUCCUUCAAAGUGCCUGUUGACUGUCUCUGUGGGAGCAUGGGCUUCCCAGCCUGCAGAAUGGCCAGCCUGCAGGUUGUAACUCAUUAUAAGAAAUAAAGUCUCCUUUCUAAAUUUA
Macaca mulatta (Rhesus monkey) is the source of this 745-nucleotide non-coding RNA. Lineage: Eukaryota; Metazoa; Chordata; Mammalia; Primates; Cercopithecidae. The record is from RefSeq and is a predicted model, not a curated record.